GGUAGUACCGCUAACGAGCGCAACCCCUAUUGUUAGUUGCCAUCAUUCAGUUGGGCACUCUAGCGAGACUGCCGGUAAUAAACCGGAGGAAGGUGGGAUGACGUCAAAUCAUCAUGCCCCUUAUGACCUGGGCUACACACGUGCUACAAUGGUUGGUACAACGAGUUGCGAGUCGGUGACGGCGAGCUAAUCUCUUAAAGCCAAUCUCAGUUCGGAUUGUAGGCUGCAACUCGCCUACAUGAAGUCGGAAUCGCUAGUAAUCGCGGAUCAGCACGCCGCGGUGAAUACGUUCCCGGGCCUU
This 301-nucleotide ribosomal RNA is filed under the name uncultured Streptococcus sp. Its description in RNAcentral is "bacterial SSU rRNA". It matches the Rfam family "Bacterial small subunit ribosomal RNA", at positions 1079 to 1382 of the family's 1533-position model. The record is from RNAcentral. Lineage: Bacteria; Bacillati; Bacillota; Bacilli; Lactobacillales; Streptococcaceae.